CCUUCCACCACGGGAUGAUGCAGCAAGAAGACCUUUUUCAGAUGGGCCCUUCUGUAUUUCCCGCCAUCCAGAACUCCAGAAAUUUUACUGAAAUGAUGGGAAAGACGAAAACAGAUGCCCAGAAUGGAUGUGUUAUGAUAACUGUUUUAAAAAAGUCUCUAUACAACCUGGUAUUUGAUCAACAAUUACAGUUAGUUAUCAAUUACACGAAAAGUGGAAGUGACUUUCAAUUGCACAAAAAGAUUAUUACUUAUGUACUGUCUUAUCGUAAUAAAAAUUUCAACUAUAUUAUUUAUUGUUCUCUCAAUAGCAGAGUAGAUUCUUAGAAACUUGAGUCGAGG
RNAcentral lists this long non-coding RNA (341 nucleotides) under Callithrix jacchus (white-tufted-ear marmoset). Its description in RNAcentral is "lncRNA (ENSCJAG00000056316.2)". Lineage: Eukaryota; Metazoa; Chordata; Mammalia; Primates; Cebidae. The record is from RNAcentral.